AGUGAACGCUGGCGGCAGGCCUAACACAUGCAAGUCGAACGGCAGCACAAGAGAGCUUGCUCUCUGGGUGGCGAGUGGCGGACGGGUGAGGAAUGCAUCGGAAUCUGCCCAUUUGUGGGGGAUAACCUCGGGAAACCGGGACUAAUACCGCAUACGACCUACGGGUGAAAGCAGGGGAUCUUCGGACCUUGCGCAGAUGGAUGAGCCGAUGCCGGAUUAGCUAGUUGGAGGGGUAAAGGCCCACCAAGGAGACGAUCCGUAGCUGGUCUGAGAGGAUGAUCAGCCACACUGGGACUGAGACACGGCCCAGACUCCUACGGGAGGCAGCAGUGGGGAAUAUUGGACAAUGGGCGCAAGCCUGAUCCAGCCAUGCCGCGUGUGUGAAGAAGGCCUUCGGGUGGUAAAGCACUUUUGUUGGGAAAGAAAAGCAGCCGGUUAAUACCCGGUUGUCAUGACGGUACCCAAAGAAUAAGCACCGGCUAACUUCGU
Molecule: ribosomal RNA, 489 nt
Filed under: uncultured bacterium
Lineage: Bacteria
Description: partial 16S ribosomal RNA
Rfam family: Bacterial small subunit ribosomal RNA
Source: RNAcentral